UCAGACGAUGCGUCAUGCAUAUCAAUAAGCGGAGGAAAAGAAACUAACUAGGAUUCCCUCAGUAACGGCGAGUGAAGCGGGAAGAGCUCAAAUUUGAAAUCUUCAAGGUUCUACCUUGACGAAUUGUAGUUUAAAGAAGUGUUUUCUGUUGGGGUUUUGGUACAAGUUCUUUGGAAUAGGACAUCAUAGAGGGUGAGAAUCCCGUAUUUGACCAUUAUUUCCAGCUUUGUGAUACACUUUCAAAGAGUCGGAUUGUUUGGGAAUGCAGUCCAAAAUGGGUGGUAAAUUUCAUCUAAAGCUAAAUAUUGGCGAGAGACCGAUAGCGAACAAGUACCGUGAGGGAAAGAUGAAAAGAACUUUGAAAAGAGAGUUAAACAGUACGUGAAAUUGUCAAAAGGGAAGCGUUUGACACCAGUGUUGUUUUCUCGAAAAUCAAUUAAAAAGGGCAGGAUUUUGUGUUGUAUUGACUUUAUCAGCUUUCUGCACUCUUUUCUUGUCUUUUUUUAAUGCACUUUUCGUUUAACAAGUCAACAUCAAUUUCUUUUGUUGUAAAAGGGUCAUUGGAAGGUGGCUUUCUUUUCGGAGAAAGUGUUUAUAGCCUUUGGCCUCUGCAAUCGGAGAGAUUGAGGUCUGCAGCGUAGAUCCUUCGGGGUUAGAUACAUUUGUGCUAAGUUAUAGCCUUUCAUAGACAACUUGUUGACUAUGAUCAGUCAUGUAGCUUACUCGCUUAUGCUAUUUUACCUACGCUUAGGAUGUUGAUCUACAGAGCGAGAGU
RNAcentral lists this ribosomal RNA (775 nucleotides) under uncultured Neocallimastigales. Its description in RNAcentral is "partial large subunit ribosomal RNA". It matches the Rfam family "Eukaryotic large subunit ribosomal RNA", at positions 18 to 625 of the family's 3401-position model. The record is from RNAcentral. Lineage: Eukaryota; Fungi; Neocallimastigomycota; Neocallimastigomycetes; Neocallimastigales.